CCCACUGGGGAAUACUAGGGUUUUCUUUCCUUCCUCACUAUUGCCAAAGUGAGGGGAUUCUAGAAAACUUAUUCUGAAAGCCUCGGAGGCAGUGCUAUCAGCAGGGAAGAUGAGCAUCUCAUUUCCCAGUGGAACCUCCAAUGAGGCAGCAGAUGGGUCGAUCCUGCCCUCUGCCUCCCUGGAGAGGGAAGGAAGAGUGAGGGUUGCUUGAGUGUCCUCAAGGCAGGGCAGCUGACCUCACCCCGAGAGAACAAGCCAAAGGCCCAAGGUAGCACCGCAGGGUCUCAUAUGACCAAGCCUCAGAAGUCAUGCACUGUCCCUCUGACAGAAUGCUGCCUGUCACCCAGGCCAGCUUUGAUUCAGUGUGAGAGGAGACUACAGAUGGACAUGAACACCAGUGGGUAUGCACCACUGGGGCCAACCCAGAGGCCGAAGAUCACAUGCAUCUUGCUGGCUUCUCACCCAGAAGGACUGGCCUGGGAAUGGGGAGCCCUGGAGAGGAGCUGAGGGGGCAAGAAGACAUCAAACCCGAGGCAGGUCUCUCUCCUUAUGGCCCUGAGCUGGGAGGAAGGCCCCACAGUGUUCUGUGGAUAACGUGCAGGUGCCCUAUGUGAGACUCUGGGCACACAGAGGGCGCUGAUGGCCAGUGAGCAUAGCCGGAGAAGCAGAAGUGACCCCAUAUCAUCUAUGAAGAAGACUUCUGGCCAGGCAUGGUGGCUCAGACCCAUAAUCCCAGCAUUUUGGGAGGCCAAGCUGGGCAGAUGGCU
RNAcentral lists this long non-coding RNA (767 nucleotides) under Homo sapiens (human). RNAcentral describes it as "HSALNT0060326". Lineage: Eukaryota; Metazoa; Chordata; Mammalia; Primates; Hominidae. The record is from RNAcentral.